This 453-nucleotide ribosomal RNA is filed under the name Salmonella enterica subsp. enterica serovar Schwarzengrund. RNAcentral's name for it is "partial 23S ribosomal RNA". It matches the Rfam family "Bacterial large subunit ribosomal RNA", at positions 87 to 580 of the family's 2925-position model. The record is from RNAcentral. Lineage: Bacteria; Pseudomonadati; Pseudomonadota; Gammaproteobacteria; Enterobacterales; Enterobacteriaceae.
GAUAUGAACCGUUAUAACCGGCGAUUUCCGAAUGGGGAAAACCAGUGUGACUCGUCACACUAUCAUUAACUGAAUCCAUAGGUUAAUGAGGCGAACCGGGGGAACUGAAACAUCUAAGUACCCCGAGGAAAAGAAAUCAACCGAGAUUCCCCCAGUAGCGGCGAGCGAACGGGGAGGAGCCCAGAGCCUGAAUCAGCAUGUGUGUUAGUGGAAGCGUCUGGAAAGGCGCGCGAUACAGGGUGACAGCCCCGUACACAAAAGCGCAUGUGCUGUGAGCUCGAUGAGUAGGGCGGGACACGUGGUAUCCUGUCUGAAUAUGGGGGGACCAUCCUCCAAGGCUAAAUACUCCUGACUGACCGAUAGUGAACCAGUACCGUGAGGGAAAGGCGAAAAGAACCCCGGCGAGGGGAGUGAAAAAGAACCUGAAACCGUGUACGUACAAGCAGUGGGAGC